UAACUAUCACUUCAAAGUUUAGGCUCUAUCUGGCAAACCAUCUUCCAAACACCUUUCACCAUAUUCCCCAAUGAAAAACUUCUUUCAUUACUUUCUAGAGAGCUUGGUAAAAAGAAAAAGAAAAAGAAAGCUUGUUAAUAAAAAUAAAACAAAGAGCUUGUGAAAAAAAUAUUAAUCACACUGCAUUAGCAUAUUGCAUACAUAAUGCAUGUCUAACUUUC
This 221-nucleotide long non-coding RNA is filed under the name Lathyrus oleraceus (garden pea). RNAcentral describes it as "Pisum sativum (pea) long non-coding RNA (PSAT_LNC030200)". Lineage: Eukaryota; Viridiplantae; Streptophyta; Magnoliopsida; Fabales; Fabaceae. The record is from RNAcentral.